CCUACGGGUGGCAGCAGUAGGGAAUCUUUCUCAAUGGGCGAAAGCCUGAAGGAGCAACGCCGCGUGCAGGAUGAAGGCUUUCGGAUUGUAAACUCCUUUUGUGAGAGAGGAUAAUGACGGUAUCUCACGAAUAAGCACCGGCUAACUCCGUGCCAGCAGCCGCGGUAAUACGGAGGAUGCGAGCGUUACUCGGAAUCACUGGGCGUAAAGAGUUCCAAGGCGGGCUUGUAAUUGAGAUGUGAAAUUCUGUGCCUUAACUAUAGAACUAUAUUUGAAACUGUGAGUCUAGAGUGUGGGAGAGGUAAGUGGAAUUUUUGGUGUAGGGGUGAAAUCCGUAGAUAUUAAGAGGAACACCGAUUGCGAAGGCGAGUUACUGGAACAGUUCUGACGCUCAUGCACGAAAGCGUAGGGAGCAAACAGGAUUAGAUACCCUAGUAGUC
RNAcentral lists this ribosomal RNA (440 nucleotides) under uncultured bacterium. RNAcentral describes it as "partial 16S ribosomal RNA". It matches the Rfam family "Bacterial small subunit ribosomal RNA", at positions 338 to 795 of the family's 1533-position model. The record is from RNAcentral.